This 392-nucleotide ribosomal RNA is filed under the name uncultured bacterium. RNAcentral's name for it is "partial 16S ribosomal RNA". It matches the Rfam family "Bacterial small subunit ribosomal RNA", at positions 523 to 918 of the family's 1533-position model. The record is from RNAcentral.
AUACGGAGGAUCCGAGCGUUAUCCGGAUUUAUUGGGUUUAAAGGGUGCGCAGGCGGCCAUUUAAGUCAGAGGUUAAAUCGUGGGGCUCAACCCCAUUCUGCCGUUGAUACUGGGUGGCUUGAUUGCGGUCGAGGUUGGCGGAAUUCGUUGUGUAGCGGUGAAAUGCAUAGAUAUGACGAAGAACACCGAUUGCGUAGGCAGCUGACCAGACCGCAAAUGACGCUCAUGCACGAAAGUGCGGGGAUCGAACAGGAUUAGAUACCCUGGUAGUCCGCACAGUAAACGAUGAAUACUUGUUUUCGGCGAUAUAAUGUCGGAGGCAAAGCGAAAGCGAUAAGUAUUCCACCUGGGGAGUACGCCGGCAACGGUGAAACUCAAAUGAAUUGGCGGGG